Molecule: non-coding RNA, 629 nt
Organism: Pimephales promelas (fathead minnow)
Lineage: Eukaryota; Metazoa; Chordata; Actinopteri; Cypriniformes; Leuciscidae
Source: RefSeq, a predicted model, not a curated record
GAUACCACAUCUGUGAGAUAAGACAGACAGAAAGGAAUUUCAAGGGAAACAACAUGGUUGUCGGUCUAUAACUUAGUCACUUAAAGAUGUGUGUGUCAAAUUCAGUGCUUAUUACUUCUGGAUGGAGGGAAACUCUGACCAAAGUCAACACACUGUUUCCCCUUCAGUGUUGUCUACAGAAGAGAAUGGAGAGAAUUUAAAUGAGCUUCCACUUUGUUGCAGAAUAAGCUACAAUUCCUGCCAGGCUUUAUGCCAGCGGUCAAAAGUCUGGCUUGCGAGAUUAUACCUGAAGUGUAGAGCAGAUUUGCAUGAUUUACUUAUUUGGAUGGCAGGAGGGAGAAAGCAAACAUGUUUUUCAGGACAUCCAUCCCUUCCUUUCUAAGUACACUUGCAGCCAGACUAAUUAUCAGUGUACUUCAAGCGUGUUAAUGAUUAAUUAACUUGAAGUGUGCUAUUUUGAAACAACAAAUUUUGUACUAAGUAUAUUUUAGUAAAUUGUUGUAAAGCAAAACUUUAAGUGUAUUUUGUGUACUUAUGAUGUGGACCCACUAGUAUACUUAGCAUUUAGCCUGUGUAGGGACUAAUUACACGCUUGAUUAGUGAUAUUAAAGUGUACUUUAUUUGUGUUA